This 274-nucleotide ribosomal RNA is filed under the name uncultured bacterium. Its description in RNAcentral is "partial 16S ribosomal RNA". It matches the Rfam family "Bacterial small subunit ribosomal RNA", at positions 523 to 796 of the family's 1533-position model. The record is from RNAcentral.
AUACGGAGGGAGCAAGCGUUAUUCGGAAUCACUGGGCGUAAAGGACGCGUAGGCGGGUUUGUAAGUCAGGUGUGAAAUCCUACAGCUCAACUGUAGAACUGCACUUGAGACUACAGACCUAGAGUAUGGAAGGGGCAGAUGGAAUUAGUGGUGUAGGGGUAAAAUCCGUAGAUAUCACUAGGAAUACCGAAAGCGAAGGCGAUCUGCUGGGACAUUACUGACGCUGAGGCGUGAAAGCGUGGGGAGCAAACAGGAUUAGAAACCCUAGUAGUCC